Long non-coding RNA from Dermochelys coriacea (leatherback sea turtle), 3180 nucleotides. RefSeq lists it as uncharacterized. The transcript has 3 exons. NCBI's taxonomy places the organism in Eukaryota, Metazoa, Chordata, Testudines, Dermochelyidae. The record is from RefSeq and is a predicted model, not a curated record.
GAGCGAUAGGAGGGGGAGUAAGGGGAGGUAUUGAGACUCAGGGUGGGGAGCCAGCUUCAGGCUGGAAGGAGGGUCCUAGGGUUCUACUGGCUCUCAGGCCUGUUUGGGGCCCAGUCCCUGGCUGCUCCCUGCAAUACAGACUGCUUGAGAGUCAGGGGCCCAAGGCUGUGGGGCAGCCCAGCCAUGCUGGGGCUUCCAGGCUCCCUUCCACAUAGCCAGGAGUCACAAAAGCCAGAGAGAGCCAGCUUUAGCUGGCAACCUACAAACCUGGGAAAUUUUGGAAAAAAAUCAGUUCAGUUCCGAAUCAGACUGAAGCCAAAUUUUGAAAGGGUAGAAAUUUCCCAAAAACUGAACAUUCUGAGUUUCAGUCAACUCUGUUCUCUACAGCAGGCUCUCUCCUCUGUUCUCCACAGAGUAAACACUACCAGCCAGGAGGAAAGAGUUGAUGCUGACAUAGAGUUGACAAAGUUUAUAGCAGAGCGUGGGGUACACAGGAUAGCUGCAAUCCCAUGUGCAGAUCAUGCAGAGAAGACAGCACAAGGUUAUCAUUGGUGAUGUUGUAUUGCCUAGAGUGAUCUUCAGGGACCAAGCCUUCCCCUGGCUUAUGAAGCUAUACAUCAGUCACCUCCACAGCACCAAGAAAAGAUUCAGCUACUGGCUAAGCAGGUGCAGAAUGACAAUUGGAUGUGCUUUUGGUGGUGGUGAGCGUAGCUGAUAUCUCACUUCUGCAGGUAACAAAGGCAGAGAGAGCACAGCUGCUGCUGGCGUCCCAAAGCCACCUGGACCACUAGCCUAUUUACUGCAGUGGUGCCUGCUGAAGCUAUUACUGAGUGGAGUAGGAAAACGUCCUAUCAUGGAGGAACAAAUAAGGCAGCCAUCCUUAGGAAGACCUUUGGGAGAGGAUUGCAGAGUGCCUCCAGGAAAGUUUCAUUGAGAUCUCUCAGGAAACAUUCCUGUGCACGUAAAUAACCUUCUCUGCAUGGCCCCCUGCCUAGCUACUGGAGAAUGAAAAUCAGAUGACAACGCUACUUCUCUUUGUUGUACAGCUACCUCUUCUCAGACGAGUGAAUUAAGGAAAAUUCGAUAGCUGUGUCCUGUUAGGUUGUGGAAGCCAUUAGUACAUCCCUAUAAUGGGAAAUACAUUUACGCAUUUACCCGAGGUUCCUUCUCCUGCAGUGGGCUUGCCUGUGCUUGACUGAGUGGACUGCGGCGGAGUCUCAAACAAAUCUCACACUAUAGCUAGAUUCCCCCGUUCACAUCUCCCCUAUAUUCCUCCUCCUUCGGCUCCUCGUCCUCACUGUUCGUGCCAGGAGCCUGUGACUCAGGCUCCUCAGUGGUGUGGGGGGAGCUGGUGGGGUCUCCACCAAGUAUGGCAUACAGCUCAUGGUAAAAGCGGCAGGUCUGUGGCUCGGCACUGGAUCACCUGUUGGCCUCCCUGGACUUCUAAGAUGCCUGUCACAGCUCCUUGGCUUUCACACGGCACUGCUGCUGGUCCCUGUCAUACUCCUUCUCCUGCAUCCCCUGGGCAAUCUGCUUGUAGAGGUCAACAUCUCAGAGCAGUCAGUUCUGGGCAUUGUGAAACAGCUGCUGGAGGACGGUUAGGGUCACAUUAGGUAACGCAGUGUCUGCACUCAUCCUGCAUCAACCUCCGUACAUUAACCAUGGCUCAAUGCUGUGUGGGGAGGUGGUGUUACAAUGUUGGCAUAAUGGGUGGGAGACAAAAUUAAGUGUAGACACAUGCACAAUGAGGUCGAUGCAAGGUGGCUUACGUUGACCUAGCUUUGUAGUGUAGACAAGGCCUAAGUUACCAGCAAUUGUAUAUAACUGUUAUGAUUAUAUAAGCAAGGCCAGGUCAGCAGCCCAGGUCAUUCUUAACGGGGGCCAUUGUCACCAUUCUAGAGCCGUCAAAGAUACCUCAACCGAUGAUCAUCCUUCCUGUACAGCUAAUUUGCAUGCUGCAAUUCUAUUGGUUGUAAUGGGUCUGGGGCAUAAUAGUUGUCACUGGUAGGCUGCUUGCUCCAACCAUCAUUCUCUGUAAAGGCUCUGAGCCCCUGAGCUGGCUUGGGCCCCGGUGUGUGAAAGGCCCCGCACUGGGUUUUGGAGUGCCAGAAAGAUAAGCAUAUACUUAAGUGCUUUGCUAAAUCAGGGACUAGAAUGAUGAUUUUCCGACUUCACUAUAAGUGAGCCACUUUUACCAUCUUUUUUUACUUUUCUAAGCAGCAAAUGCAAGUAAUCCACACAGGAACUAGCAUCCAGCAAAAUCACCCUCCAAAAGCAAAGCCUUUGUUGUAGGAGUCACCUUGUAUUAUUUCGUGGUUUUGUUACACGUAUAAAAUUCCUCAGCUUAGCGAGACCUGUAAGUUAGUGUUUUGACUUUCUAGCUAGGCAGGCCUUACUGAUAUGCCAUAUUAGGCUACUGGUACGGACAAAAGUGUUUAACAUCUGUGUUUUUAUAAGAAUGUUUAUUUACUUAUGUAAGAAUUUGAUAUAAUGGCAGACCAAGAAAUGGGGAACAGGCCAAUGCUGUCCUCAAGUUUCAUGCACAAGUCAACAUUUGCACAGUAGACCACAGUUAGGUGUUGAAACGCAAGUAGUUAACUGGUGAUAAGAAUUCAGCAUUUGUAGUUUGUUAAACAUUGGACAUCUUUCUUUGCAUUCCAUUUUGUUCUAGUGAAAACUUUCAUCUUGAUUGUGACUGAGGGGAACAAAAGCUUCAAAGCAUACUGAUUUAUUUCCAUUUUUAAGAAAGGCAAUAGAUAAAAAGAGUGGAUGAGAUUACAACUUGAUUUUUACCAAGAUAUUAACCUUUCUUGUUCUUAAUAGUGAAUACCAAUGCAGUACUUCCACACUGUACAUCUUUUCUUCCUAUUUACAUUACUGUGUUUCACUACUACCUAUAAUCUAUUCAAUGUGCUGCUGAGAUUGCUUGCAACAUAGGGUUGCAUCAUAUUUUAAAGUCUGACUCAAAAUUAAAAAAAGCUAAAGGCAGUAUAUUAUUUAAGUGGAAAUUCAUACAAAUCAGUUGUAGAAAUAAACACCGUGCCGAGCGUUGUAAAUUCUAAAGAUUUACUGUUCACUAAAUCCAUGUAAUGUAUAACUCCAAACAAGUGUGAUUAAUCACUUAUAUAUUCUGGGACUACUUUUCUUUUCAAUUGCUCCUCAAAUUCACUUCCUUUUUAU